This 99-nucleotide transfer RNA is filed under the name Drepanaphis utahensis. RNAcentral describes it as "tRNA-Val". The record is from RNAcentral. Lineage: Eukaryota; Metazoa; Arthropoda; Insecta; Hemiptera; Aphididae.
UAAAUAUCUAAAUUUUUAAGUAUAUCGUUUACAAUGAUAAGAUGUUUUUUAAACUUUAUUUAUAUUAUUUAAUAAUUUAAUUGAAUAAAAUUUUAAUUU